Molecule: long non-coding RNA, 1173 nt
Filed under: Betta splendens (Siamese fighting fish)
Lineage: Eukaryota; Metazoa; Chordata; Actinopteri; Anabantiformes; Osphronemidae
Description: lncRNA (ENSBSLG00000010074.1)
Source: RNAcentral
AUGAGUUUGUUUAGAGCCAAACAUUUGUAUCAUGCAUCACCUGAACGACUCCUCCUGUCCUCGUUGCUCCUCCUGUCCUUGUUGCUCCUUCAUGUCCUCGUUGCUCCUUCAUGUCCUCGUUGCUCCUCCUGUCCUCGUUGCUCCUUCAUGUCCUCGUUGCUCCUCCUGUCCUCGUUGCUCCUCCUGUCCUCGUUGCUCCUUCAUGUCCUCGUUGCUCCUCCUGUCCUCGUUGCUCCUUCAUGUCCUCGUUGCUCCUUCAUGUCCUCGUUGCUCCUUCAUGUCCUCGUUGCUCCUUCAUGUCCUCGUUGCUCCUCCUGUCCUUGUUGCUCCUUCAUGUCCUCGUUGCUCCUUCAUGUCCUCGUUGCUCCUUCAUGUCCUCGUUGCUCCUCCUGUCCUCGUUGCUCCUUCAUGUCCUCGUUGCUCCUCCUGUCCUCGUUGCUCCUCCUGUCCUCGUUGCUCCUCAUGUCCUCGUUGCUCUUCCUGUCCUCGUUGCUCCUUCAUGUCCUCGUUGCUCCUCCUGUCCUCUUUGCUCCUCCUGUCCUCGUUGCUCCUUCAUGUCCUCGUUGCUCCUCCUGUCCUCGUUGCUCCUCCUGUCCUCGUUGCUCCUUCAUGUCCUCGUUGCUCCUUCAUGUCCUCGUUGCUCCUACUGUCCUCGUUGCUCCUCCUGUCCUCGUUGCUCCUUCAUGUCCUCGUUGCUCCUCCAGUCCUCGUUGCUCCUUCAUGUCCUCGUUGCUCCUCCUGUCCUUGUUGCUCCUUCAUGUCCUCGUUGCUCCUUCAUGUCCUCGUUGCUCCUUCAUGUCCUCGUUGCUCCUCCUGUCCUCGUUGCUCCUCCUGUCCUCGUUGCUCCUCCUGUCCUUGUUGCUCCUUCAUGUCCUCGUUGCUCCUCCUGUCCUCUUUGCUCCUCCUGUCCUCGUUGCUCCUUCAUGUCCUCGUUGCUCCUCCUGUCCUCGUUGCUCCUCCUGUCCUCGUUGCUCCUCCUGUCCUCGUUGCUCCUUCAUGUCCUCGUUGCUCCUCCUGUCCUCGUUGCUCCUCCUGUCCUCGUUGCUCCUUCAUGUCCUCGUUGCUCCUUCAUGUCCUCGUUGCUCCUCCUGUCCUCGUUGCUCUUCCUGUCCUCGUUGCUCCUCCUGUCCUCGUUGCUCCUCCUGUCCUCGUUGCUCCAUUCUGACCUCCUGA